UGUGCAAACUCCAUACAGCCGGUCACCAGAGGGUAUGAUUGAAUCCGGGUCCCUGGAGCUGUGAGGCAGCAGUGCUAACCACUGAGCCACCAUGAUAAGAAUAUUAUCUUGAGCUUACAUAAUGACUGAGCUUCUACCAGAACUACAAAGGUUUCCAAUGAAAUUUUCUGGAAAUAUGGCUGAUUUUGGAAAAUCUUGUCUACCAUCAAUAGAAAGCAGAAAAGCAUCAGUUCUGCAACCCUCCUGAUGAUGCCUGCAGAGAUGAAGCAGACUCUGAAACAACUGCCCUUGUGGAUCUCUGUGGAUAAGAAUACCAAGGAACCAGCCCAGCUGUCUCCUUCACUGCCCACCAGCCCAAAUACUGACACCUUGGU
Molecule: long non-coding RNA, 374 nt
Organism: Rhincodon typus (whale shark)
Lineage: Eukaryota; Metazoa; Chordata; Chondrichthyes; Orectolobiformes; Rhincodontidae
Exons: 3
Source: RefSeq, a predicted model, not a curated record